CAGUCCCUCCUGCAGCAAAGCAACCUCACAACAUGAUGCUGCCACCCCCGUGCUUCACAGUUGGGAUGAUGUUCUUUGGCUUGCAAGCCUCCCCAUUUUUCCUCCAAACAGAAUGAUGGAAAUGGCUUCCUGAAAUCCCUCAAGCAGCUGAUUGGUCGACUCCAGGGCUAAUUGGAGAGCUGACCCCGCCCCCUCAUCAAGACACAGCUGUCUCCAAUUACCCAUUCCUUCAGAAGCUAUAUAAAAGCCAGUGUUCUGUUCAGGAGGAAGAUCUUUUUGUAGAGGAUUUUGCUGGAGGUAGAUUUGCUAGAGAGAUUUGCUGGGAGGUCAUUGUAGAGAUUUUGCUAGAGGUUGAUUUUGCUGGGAGUUCAUUGCUGAGAGUUGGUAUGUUUUGUGAGUUUGUUGCUCAGAUAGAACUUAUUUGAUGUCCUUUGUCUCUUAGUUUGUUUGUUUGAAAUUGUUUAAUAUUCUGUUUCAUUUGUUCCCAGGGGGGGAAGGGGAAGGCACCUAGGGAGUGCUUAGGCAAGAGGCCCGCGGGCAUACAUACACCCGUAGCAUAAUCGCUGUCUAGGCACACUAGGUAAGACCUGGGCGGACCACCCCUUGUAUUUUGGUUAGGGCACCAGGUGGUGCUAAAUUAGGUAAGUAGUGGGUAG
Molecule: long non-coding RNA, 656 nt
Organism: Oncorhynchus tshawytscha (Chinook salmon)
Lineage: Eukaryota; Metazoa; Chordata; Actinopteri; Salmoniformes; Salmonidae
Source: Ensembl